UAUCAGCUUUCGACGGUAUGGUAUUGGCUUACCGUGGCAGUGACGGUUAACGGGGGAUUAGGGUUCGAUUCCGGAGAGGGAGCCUGAGAAACGGCUACCACAUCUAAGGAAGGCAGCAGGCGCGCAAAUUACCCAAUUCUAACAGUUUGAGAGAGGUAGUAACAAGAAAUAACAAUACAAGGCAGUUAAAAUGCUUUGUAAUUGGAAUGAUAGAAAUUUAAACCCUUUUUAAAGUAUCAAUUGGAGGGCAAGUCUGGUGCCAGCAGCCGCGGUAAUUCCAGCUCCAAUAGCGUAUAUUAAAAUUGUUGCAGUUAAAAAGCUCGUAGUUGAAGUUCUGCUAAAAGUAACCGGUCUGCUUUUAAUAAAGGUGGUAUCUUGGUGUGUAUUUAGCAAUGAUGUCCUUUGAAGUGUUUUUUACUUUAUUGUAAUAAAGCAUAUUCAGGACUUUUACUUUGAGAAAAUUAGAGUGUUUCUAGCAGGCUAACGCUUUGAAUACUGCAGCAUGGAAUAAUAAGAUAGGAUUUUAGUUCUACAUUAUUGGUUUUAAGAGCUAAAUUAAUGAUUGAUAGGGACAGUUGGGGGCAUUUGUAUUUAACUGUCAGAGGUGAA
Molecule: ribosomal RNA, 609 nt
Filed under: Hepatozoon sp. JPM-2014
Lineage: Eukaryota; Apicomplexa; Hepatozoidae
Description: bacterial SSU rRNA
Rfam family: Eukaryotic small subunit ribosomal RNA
Source: RNAcentral